Long non-coding RNA from Bombus pyrosoma, 1093 nucleotides. RefSeq lists it as uncharacterized. The transcript is spliced from 3 exons. The record is from RefSeq and is a predicted model, not a curated record. Lineage: Eukaryota; Metazoa; Arthropoda; Insecta; Hymenoptera; Apidae.
UAAAUAUAUAAUUAUUCUAAUAUUAAUUCCAAGUGUGAAUUUAGCGUUCCUAUAACAUUAUUUCGGUUAUCAAGAUCCACAAUUCUCGACAGUUUCAUUCCAAAAGACAUCAUGUACAAAGUAAAGUACGUAAACUAUACACGAAUUAACAACGUUCUAAAUACUUCUCAGUGGACGAUACCGACUCCGUUAUAUUUACCUGGAAGAAUGUUUCGUUUCUGUAGUUUUAAUAACUGACGAUAUUUCUGAAGCUGAAUGCACCUAGUCUUUCGUACAAUCGGUUUUAUAGACAGUCAAUGGACAGCCCGGCAAUAAAUCCAGCAAGUACGCAAAUAUUUGACGAUGCAGAAUUGAAAGGUACGUUUCACUUCCACGCGAAGAAACGACCGUUCAAUCCGCGAUCGAUGAUUUACGAUUAUUUGGGAAACGUUUCGUGAAUUGCAGCGUGCUCUGCAAAGGAUUAGUCGCAUGGUCGACCUUUUAGCUAUAAGUCAGAACCACGGAAUAAAGCUCUAGCCUACAGCGUUCGCUGAAAAAAAAAACAAAGUAAAUCGCGUUACCCGUUUGUUUGAUUUGUUGUUCGGGUCACCGUGAAUACCGUGUGUAGUAAGUUGCGAAAUCCCUGGCGAAAAGAAAACAACUCGCAUCGCGAAUUUAGUUUUUAUACGACAGGAAUAUGGCAAUUUGAGUAAGUUUAAGGUGUGGAAAAUAGCCUUAUAUUACCUCGCGGAGUUUUCUAUCAAUGACCUGACGUAAGAAGAAUGUACGGUAAGGAAAACAAGGACGACUACAAAGAGACGAUCAACUACAAAGAAACGAUCGACUACAAAGGAACUUGAAUAUACCCAGUGAGCAACCGAUCGAUAGUCGAUCAAAUGGACUUCCGUACUAAUCGCUUUCGAGAGUUUAUUAUCAUCUCGGAACUGUUCAUUCUCUUUCUAACAACGUUCGUGCUAUCCGGCAGUCGAUAGACGAUUCAGAUAUUGCGAACAGAAGCUGUUAAAGAAGAUAAAAGGGGAACUCGACUCAUGAUACGAUUGUUGUUUCUCCAUUACCUUUGUCAUUAGCGUUUAUCCCAUUGGUUUUAUUAGAA